RNAcentral lists this long non-coding RNA (2228 nucleotides) under Homo sapiens (human). RNAcentral's name for it is "non-protein coding LINC-PINT:74". Lineage: Eukaryota; Metazoa; Chordata; Mammalia; Primates; Hominidae. The record is from RNAcentral.
AAACAGCGAUUCUUCUGCAGUGAAUCACUUCCAGAAAUGAAUAGCCACAGUUUUUUGGAAUGAACGUUGUGAAAUCCCUCCUUUAUAAUGGCAGGUUUUCAGUUGGUGGUUUUAUCAGAAUUUCUCAAGAUCAAAACGAAACCUUCUCUUUAAAAAGGAAAGAAAGUACUAUCGAUACAGAAAGCAAAAGUAUUUCCAGUCUCCUACUGAACUGUCACGGCAGACCUCUCUGUAUCUAUAUUUAGAGCUGUAUGUCCAUAUAUUUGCCUGAAUGUGUGAGUUCUUGGAAGUAUGGAUUCAUUGCCAGGAGCUGGUGAUUUCCUAAGCAGAGGUCGCUAACUACAAGAAAUGUUACACUCGGACAAGUCCUGCGCUUGGGGAUCCUCUGUACGCCCGUUCACUGGUGCAGGUCUUCUGAACAAAUGCCUCCUGAGGAUUUCUGUGCCUGGAAAAUAUCUGUUAACAGACUGCUUUUACACCUACCUAUUUGGUGCUACUUCUACUCCUCAUGACCAAAGCUGGCUUUCAUGGUUUACUCAUGUACUUACUGAUGAAACCCUGAGACUUGGGGCCAGUGACUGUUCAGAGGUCCAUGUGAAGAUGCGCUGAAUGGUAUAAAGGACAGAGCAGUAAAGAGUGCUGGCUGAAUGCCUGGGCUGGCAAUCAGGCAUGUUGGAGUUUGAGUCCCAGUCUGCCACUCCAGCUCUGUGACCAAGAGGAAGUGAAGUCAUGUACCCUUUCUAAGUCUCUAGCCCCUCUUCUGAAAGACGAAGAUGCCACCACCAACCAUGUUAGUGGUUGUGAAUGCCAAGAAAGUCCAUGUGAAGCACAUAGCAUAGUGUCUGCCAUGCGUUAAGUGUUCCAAAAAUGGAAGCUAUGACUAUUUCACAGAGUACACUUCCCAUCACUUUUCAGUUCAUUUUGGCCUUCUCCCUCAAAAGCACUCCAGUGUUCUGAUCCAGCUGAUAAAACACCAAACAUUCACAUAGUGCUUUAAAAGUGACCCACUGUUUUUACAGACUGCAUUACAUAUGACCCUAACAACCACUGCAAUAUAGAAAUUCGCAUCUCCAUUCUCCAGAUCAGGAUACCGAAGCUCAGAAAAAUUAAAUGAUUUGCCCAGGAUCACAUAGUUAGUAAGCAGCCCAGCCAGAUCCUGUGUUAACUUGUUCAUCCGCUUCCUAUAAGAAAACAUCCAUUCAAGGCACAUGGGGCAACAAAGAAGGACUUAGAGCUGUGUGGCCCCUCGUCAGGGCAGUACCAGUUGCACCCAUAGUCCGGCCUGAAUACUCAGCUUAGGACUAUUGUGUCCAAUGUCCCAAACAUUUUGAAGCUACAUCUUAAAGAAGUGUCCUGCUCAGAUGCAGUUCUCCUUGUGAAAUCCGCAGGCCCCAAGGAAAGUGACUUUAAUCCAGUUUGCUCAUGCAAGAACAGACUGGCAUUUCACAUCCAGGAAAACAAUGGAUUUGUACUGUUCAGCUUUUGCCAUGCAAGGAGUUCCUGGUGUGGUUUAUUAAUUUACAUCUCAGGCUCCAGCUUCACUAUCAAUCAGAUUUGGAAGAAAAAAGUUACAAAGAAAGGCAGCUUGCUGAGAAACAGCGGAAGCAUGACGGUACAGACUGGGUUUUGAAAUGGAGACACAUUCUCAUGGCUUGUGGGCUGAGAGACACUGAGAAAGGAUUUUGUUCUUGAAAGAUGAUUGUUUUAAUGCUGGAGAUGGAGAGUUUUGACAAUUUUAAGUGCAUGUUCUGUGUGUAAGAAAGAGUCAUUACGUUUUUUUUUUCUUUCAGAUGUUGCCAUGCCUUAAAAUUGCUGAUGAUUAAAAUAGAACAUCCUGAGUUACAGAAAUUCAGCCCUAGUGUAUCCUGGCCUAAAAAUACAGAACAAUCAAGUUGAUUGUUGGAAAUGAGAGGCUAGGCAGGGUUGGAAACAUGCUAAUGUUUACUGAGUGAAAUCUUUCCUUCUCAGUAGAGUUGCCCUUGCAGCUGAAAGUCACUGAAAGACUCAACAAAAUAAGCAGAUCCCACUUGUCUCACUCUGUUCUCCUAUGCAUGCCCUGGAAAGAGAAUGAAUGAGCCCUUUUUAAUUUAUCAACUGGUUUUCUUCCAUCUCUUUACUAGUGAGCCAUGGGGGUUUUUUGCCGUUAACUGGGUAGCCAGUCUCUUCAUGGAGACUUAUUUUCAGGAAACUAGCCUCUUGCUUUAUGUGAAAACAAGGACCCAACUCAA